ACUCAUAUCGUUUUAUUCUCUUGAAGCAACACCGGGUUGGAUAUAAACGCUCAGUACAAGUUUCCGCUGAAUUCUUGAUUUCCUACAUCAGGUUCGCAUAACUGGACUUCCUCGAAUUAAAAAUAAAUAUUGAUUUAAAUGAAAUUUGUAUCGUUAAUUCUUUACAAAACCGAAGCCCACAUAUUAUAUUCUACCUAAAAGGGAAUGGAUAAUGUUUAUAUUUGAGCUACCAGAAUAGACCGCAGCAUAAAAAGAAAAACAGUGAGAAUUAAGGGAUAUAUUUUGUCUUCGAAUAUUGAGGCAUAAAGCAGGUUAAGAAACUGCUGUCUGGAAUCCUGGUACAUUAUUGCCAUCAUUAGACGCGUAACAUAUUUGCUGGAUCAAUAAUGAGAGCUCGAAGAACGAUCUCAAGCCCGAAAGAUUCUAAAUUCGGCCAGGGAUUUUGAACACGUCAUCUACAUUCUAUCUUCUUCCAAGUCGACAGCCCACUCUGUUUCCUCUGUUUAGGAAGAAAAUGGAAAAAAAAAGGUCUCGGCAUAUUACAAUUUUUAACUUUGCCAUGCAGAACAAGGAGAUUUCGAUAACUUUUUCAUGUAUUUUCCCGGCCGCCAUACACGAGCACGAAGAAGUUGUAGAUGAAGCUAAAAUAUGUUUUGAUUUCAAAAUAGAGGAGUAGGUAUGCCUCUAUGAUUUUAAAUGAUGCAGAGAAUGAGAGCUCUGCGUGGAGCUUUCAUCCAAGUCUGAAUCACAAAAUAGGAAGGUAUGAAUUUAUGAACAAUCCCAUACAUAUUGGCAACUCUGUGUUGUGACUUGUAAUCUUUAAACCAAAUCUAAAAUAAAGAAACAAAGCAGUUUAUUUUUCCUUUUAAAUGAUUUCCUUUUACAUUCAUAAUUAACUUGAUACUUGUUUUACAUUGCCUACUAAAACUUGACCGGGUGAGUGUUUCAUAAAGCUAUUUGUAACUUACGUGCGACUUUACGAACGACUGGUGACCCUUUCGUAGGAACUGAAUCAAUACCAAUGAA
This is a long non-coding RNA of Lytechinus pictus (painted urchin), 1026 nucleotides long. RefSeq lists it as uncharacterized. The record is from RefSeq and is a predicted model, not a curated record. The transcript has 3 exons. NCBI's taxonomy places the organism in Eukaryota, Metazoa, Echinodermata, Echinoidea, Temnopleuroida, Toxopneustidae.